This 102-nucleotide small nuclear RNA is filed under the name Octodon degus (degu). The record is from RNAcentral. Lineage: Eukaryota; Metazoa; Chordata; Mammalia; Rodentia; Octodontidae.
UUGCUUCAGCAAUACAUGUACUGAAAUUGAAAUGAAUCAGAGAGGAUCAGCAUGGCCCUUGCACGAAGAUGGAGCAAAAGCUGACUAAUACACAAGGUGCUG